Molecule: ribosomal RNA, 502 nt
Filed under: uncultured bacterium
Lineage: Bacteria
Description: bacterial SSU rRNA
Rfam family: Bacterial small subunit ribosomal RNA
Source: RNAcentral
AGUGGCGACCGGGUGAGUAACACGUGACUAACCUACCCGAGUGGGGAAUAACCUCGGGAAACCGGGGCUAAUACCGCAUAAUGUCUUCGGACCAAAGGAGCAAUUCGCUGGAGGAGGGGGUCGCGGCCGAUUAGCUAGUUGGCGGGGUAACGGCCCACCAAGGCAAUGAUCGGUAACCGGCCUGAGAGGGCGCACGGCCACACUGGAACUGAAACACGGUCCAGACUCCUACGGGAGGCAGCAGUGGGGAAUUUUGCGCAAUGGGGGAAACCCUGACGCAGCAACGCCGCGUGGAGGAUGAAGCCCCUUGGGGUGUAAACUCCUUUCGAUCGGGACGAUUAUGACGGUACCGGAUGAAGAAGCACCGGCUAACUCUGUGCCAGCAGCCGCGGUAAUACAGAGGGUGCAAGCGUUGUUCGGAAUUAUUGGGCGUAAAGGGCGCGUAGGCGGUGCGGUAAGUCUAUUGUGAAAUCUCCGGGCUCAACUCGGAGCCUGCAACGGA